AACACGUGGGGAACCUGCCCCAUAGUCUGGGAUACCACUUGGAAACAGGUGCUAAUACCGGAUAAGAAAGCGGAUCGCAUGAUCAGCUUUUAAAAGGCGGUGUAAGCUGUCGCUAUGGGAUGGCCCCGCGGUGCAUUAGCUAGUUGGUAAGGUAAAGGCUUACCAAGGCGAUGAUGCAUAGCCGAGUUGAGAGACUGAUCGGCCACAUUGGGACUGAGACACGGCCCAAACUCCUACGGGAGGCAGCAGAC
RNAcentral lists this ribosomal RNA (251 nucleotides) under uncultured Lactobacillus sp. RNAcentral describes it as "partial 16S ribosomal RNA". It matches the Rfam family "Bacterial small subunit ribosomal RNA", at positions 112 to 354 of the family's 1533-position model. The record is from RNAcentral. Lineage: Bacteria; Bacillati; Bacillota; Bacilli; Lactobacillales; Lactobacillaceae.